This 468-nucleotide ribosomal RNA is filed under the name uncultured bacterium. Its description in RNAcentral is "partial 16S ribosomal RNA". It matches the Rfam family "Bacterial small subunit ribosomal RNA", at positions 28 to 507 of the family's 1533-position model. The record is from RNAcentral.
GACGAACGCUGGCGGCGUGCUUAACACAUGCAAGUCGAACGGAAAGGCCCUGCUUUUGUGGGGUGCUCGAGUGGCGAACGGGUGAGUAACACGUGAGUAACCUGCCCUUGACUUUGGGAUAACUUCAGGAAACUGGGGCUAAUACCGGAUAGGAGCUCCUGCUGCAUGGUGGGGGUUGGAAAGUUUCGGCGUUUGGGGAUGGACUCGCGGCUUAUCAGCUUGUUGGUGGGGUAGUGGCUUACCAAGGCUUUGACGGGUAGCCGGCCUGAGAGGGUGGCCGGCCACAUUGGGACUGAGAUACGGCCCAGACUCCUACGGGAGGCAGCAGUGGGGAAUAUUGCACAAUGGGCGGAAGCCUGAUGCAGCAACGCCGCGUGCGGGAUGACGGCCUUCGGGUUGUAAACCGCUUUCGCCUGUGACGAAGCGUGAGUGACGGUAAUGGGUAAAGAAGCACCGGCUAACUACGUG